UUAUAUUUGGAUGACACUCCGUCUUCUUCCUCACGACGUCCUUCAUGUGCAAUUAGUGUUCUCCAAAAGAGCAACAACUACCCUCAUCAGCUCUGUCUGAAACUUACGCUGAGUUUGAUAAAAGCCAAAAAGUGUCUAAGCGCAGUAGUCUCCGCUGUUGCUUCAAUUUGAAGAUCUAAAUGGCGGUUCCGGUGUACCAUAAUAAUCCUGCACAAGAUCAGCCUCAGACCCCGGCUCCAGUCCGUGAUUUUCUCCAGGCAAGCUUAAUGUUAAAUUACUCAGGUCGCAAGGUAUGGAGAUUCUCUACCUACACAUGUGUGCAGUAAAUGGACACCUUGACGUCGUCGAAAGCAUGGGGCCGGAAGUAUAAUUUUUUCAUUAGUAGUGAUGGGGCUUUUAAUUGUCAUGGUUCUGAAAGAGACAGGUUGGCCCUUUCGUAGGUUGGAAAGAAAGCAGUUGGCAAAGUUGGAACUGCUUUUAGGUUUAGUACACAAUGGAGAAUGGUUCAGCUUUUGGACCCAUGUUUGUAGUUACUUCCAGUUCAGUACAGCAUUAUGGGGUAUGUUGGAGGUUAACUUUUGUACUCAUGUGUCCUGGCGGUUGUUUUAUUUUGCGGAUUGCAACCUGCAAAAUACUCCUCUGCAAUAUGCAGUUCUUAAUGCACACAAACCUGUAAAUGUAACUAGAUUUGCAAGCAAGGUUUCAAAGACUCGCUCCGUUUCAAUCUAA
Long non-coding RNA from Physcomitrium patens, 729 nucleotides. RefSeq lists it as uncharacterized. Lineage: Eukaryota; Viridiplantae; Streptophyta; Bryopsida; Funariales; Funariaceae. The record is from RefSeq and is a predicted model, not a curated record.